RNAcentral lists this ribosomal RNA (468 nucleotides) under uncultured bacterium. RNAcentral's name for it is "partial 16S ribosomal RNA". It matches the Rfam family "Bacterial small subunit ribosomal RNA", at positions 28 to 507 of the family's 1533-position model. The record is from RNAcentral.
GACGAACGCUGGCGGCGUGCUUAACACAUGCAAGUCGAACGGAAAGGCCCUGCUCUUGUGGGGUGCUCGAUUGGCGAACGGGUGAGUAACACGUGAGUAACCUGCCCUUGACUUUGGGAUAACUUCAGGAAACUGGGGCUAAUACCGGAUAGGAGCUCCUGCUGCAUGGGGGGGGUUGGAAAGUUUCGGCGGUUGGGGAUGGACUCGCGGCUUAUCAGCUUGUUGGUGGGGUAGUUGCUUACCAAGGCUUUGACGGGUAGCCGGCCUGAGAGGGUAAACGGCGACAUUAGGACUGAGGUACGGCGCAGUAGCGUACGGGAGGCAGCAGUGGGGAAUAUUGCACAAUAGGCGGAAGCCUGAUGCAGCGACGCCGCGUGCGGGAUGCCGGCCUUCGGGUUGUAAACCGCUUUCGACUGUGACGAAGCGUGAGUGACGGUAAUGGGUAAAGAAGCACCGGCUAACUACGUG